CCCAAAAAUUAACCAUUCGAAACUCGUCCAACAGGCAGACCGUUCUCAAAAAACUUGUAAAAAAUUAAAAAAUUAACCAUUCAGAACCCAUAAAUUAACCAUUCGAAACUCUGUGCACCUGAUAUGUAUGGAGGGCCAUUUGGGUCAAAAAUAAGGGAAUAUAAAACUCAUGUCAACACACGGUUAGAAGACACGCUCAGGCAGCGCGCUCAGGCAACACACGCUCAGAAAACGCGCUCAGGCAACGUGCUAAGGCAACACACGCUCAGUAAACGUGCUGAGGCAACACACGACGCGUUCAUACGGUGGCCGAUAGGGGUCACCCGCCUCCACUUGCCAACUAAUACCGCGAGCGGUAAAUCAUUUACCGCCCGCGGCUAAUACUAUUACCGCGAGCGGUAAAGGGUCACCGCCUCAUUUUGCCGCGAGCGGUAAACGAGGAAAUGCCGCCAGCGGGUAAAGGGUCGCCGCCUCAUUUAGCCGCCAGCGGUAAAACCUUUACCCGCCUGAAACGGUAAACCCCUUACCGCCCUAAAAUGACGACAUUGCAAGAGGUCAAAAGGUCAAUGUUUAUAAUUAAAGCGCACCUGUACCACAGUUAAGUCUACUAGUCUAUAGAGAAUCGUACUGGAGACACAAAGAGGAGCAGAGGAGGAGCAGGAGAGACAAAGAAAGGAAGGAAGAAAGGAAGGAAGGCAAGAGAUCUAAUACGGAGGACUGAGACACAAGGACCAGAGGAGAGAAAGGCAAGAGAUUGAAUAAGGACACAAGGAGCAGAGGAGCAAGGAGCAGAGGAGAGAAAGGCAAGAGAUUGAAUAAGGAGGACUAAGACACAAGGAGCAGGAGCAGAGAAGAAGGAAGGCUAGGGAUCCAAUAGGACAAUGGCCGAAGGAAGUGCUGAACCUGAUGAGGAAGUUGGUAUAUUGAUGGAAUUGUCUGAUAUGUUGUCUGAACAAGCAAACAAGUUGGCAAUAAAGCGUUCCAGAUAUAGUCAAGUAUCAGUAUCUAGAUCUACAGGUAGCAAGAGUCCAACUGAAGAAGGUUUGUUGUCUAAAAUUGUGAAUCUAUAAUACACAUACCUAUUGAUUAAUAUGCCCCCCCCUGGGGAGCACAUGGGGGAAAUCAGAGGAGGAUUGUCAGGGUCAAAGGUCUUAAUCAUAAAGCUGCUUCCUGAGGACUUUUCCACUCUAGGUGGGCAGGUAUUCUGUUGUAGCCGCCCUCGACCUUUGUUCCCUAAGUAACUGAGAGUACUACAAGAGAGACAGUUUUAUUGUCAAAUGCGUGGGGGGUGAGUAGGGGAAAGUACAAAGCUGAUACGUGAGAGAUAUUGGCAAGAGCAGGUAAAAUGCAGAAGGUUCUAAAGCGUGGUCGGUCUGGUAGCUCAAAGGAUGAUGCAGGUGGUGAUGAUUAUGUGAGCACUUACUACUAGUGUUGUGCAUUAUAUUCAUAGAUAACUGUGUGUGAAAUGAUGGAACAACCAUCUCGACAUAAUAAGGAGCAACCAGUGGAGCUACAAAUCAAAAGGAGUAGUUCUUACGAACAGUUUGCAGAUAAAGCUGCAAAUGCUCUUAUUCUCCGACCAUUACCCUGUAGUUCAAUCCGCUUGUUUGGUGCUUUAAUCCGUGCAAGGGAAAAAUCGACGUUGGACAGUUGGCAGUUAUUUGUCUUUGCUAAAAAAAAGUUCUGGCUCUGUAAAGAUUGGAGUUUCCUACAUUAUUGACUCUAAAACUAAAAUCAACUCAACAUCAACCUUUAGUAGUACUCUUCCUCCGAGUGGCAAAGAGGGCCACAGCACACGUUGGAGGAGUGUUGUUUCUCAGAAUGAAGGGAUGCUCCGUAAGAUGCGUGGUGGAGCCAGUGCUAAGGACACAGAAAACCCUGUUUUGAUUGACUCUGGGCAUGGUUCUCGUUCAGUGAAGUCAGCAGAACCGAUAAAAGCUACAUGUAGUGGUAUUGGAUUUCUUCAAUUUGAUGAAGAGACACUUCAGAAAGCAACUGACCGUUUCAGCUCACUGAAUAAGUUGGGGGAGGGAGGAGUGUUUAAAAGAUACCUAAAUGGUUGCUAUAA
Halichondria panicea is the source of this 2068-nucleotide long non-coding RNA. RefSeq lists it as uncharacterized. The transcript has 6 exons. NCBI's taxonomy places the organism in Eukaryota, Metazoa, Porifera, Demospongiae, Suberitida, Halichondriidae. The record is from RefSeq and is a predicted model, not a curated record.